UGGGCACUGAGGAGCACAGCAAGAAGAAAUGUGCCUAGGGACGACCCCAGCCAUAAGCCCUGAGGCACAGGGGACAUCCAGGCCAAGAGGGGUGUGUGCGAGGGCGCAGUAAAGAAACCUAAAUGGCCGCUCUGUUGGUGGAAAAGGAAAGUUAUUCCCAACUGACAAGGCUCUCUUCCGGAGGAAGCAGAGAGGCGAAAUGGAGAAAAAUCUCGAGGGAGAUGGCCUUUGGACCCUUUGGAAAUAUGUGCAGCAGUGGGAAUCAGGUAGGGAAAAGAAAAAUGACUGCAUUUCUGGUGGUGGCACCUCGGACCUACUUCUCUUUAGAGACCAAAAUUCUCACGACAGAUACACCCAUGGAGGCCAGGGGCCAACUGUGUGCAUUGGUUGUCUUGUGC
This 398-nucleotide long non-coding RNA is filed under the name Rattus norvegicus (Norway rat). RNAcentral's name for it is "long non-coding RNA NONRATT025540". The record is from RNAcentral. Lineage: Eukaryota; Metazoa; Chordata; Mammalia; Rodentia; Muridae.